Molecule: transfer RNA, 73 nt
Filed under: Desulfonatronospira thiodismutans ASO3-1
Lineage: Bacteria; Pseudomonadati; Thermodesulfobacteriota; Desulfovibrionia; Desulfovibrionales; Desulfonatronovibrionaceae
Rfam family: tRNA
About the family: Transfer RNA (tRNA) molecules are approximately 80 nucleotides in length. Their secondary structure includes four short double-helical elements and three loops (D, anti-codon, and T loops). Further hydrogen bonds mediate the characteristic L-shaped molecular structure. tRNAs have two regions of fundamental functional importance: the anti-codon, which is responsible for specific mRNA codon recognition, and the 3' end, to which the tRNAs corresponding amino acid is attached (by aminoacyl-tRNA synthetases). tRNAs cope with the degeneracy of the genetic code in two manners: having more than one tRNA (with a specific anti-codon) for a particular amino acid; and 'wobble' base-pairing, i.e. permitting non-standard base-pairing at the 3rd anti-codon position.
Source: Rfam by way of RNAcentral
GUCCCCAUCGUCUAGCGGCCUAGGACGUCGGCCUCUCACGCCGAAAACAGGGGUUCAAACCCCCUUGGGGACG